UCUCGACACCACAAGUGCACACAGUCAUCAGUUUCUGUGAAAAACUAAUGCAAAAAUGACAGUGGAGAAGAAAUCCUUACAGCAGCAGGAUAAACUGAAUAGCCUCAAGCCUGCCUAUGACAGCAAAGGGAGAAAAGGAUUUUACUUCGCAGCCAGUUAUCUGAAGAGCUGUAACUAAGGCUGGAUAUCUGUGUCCCCUCAUGCCACAUUAUUGCCACAUUAUCUUUCUUAACAGGUGAGUGUUUGUUUGUGACUAUGAGGUUCCAACAGCUACUGCAAUGUGAUCUUACCCUGGAGAGCUGCAUACUCUGGUGGGAGAUGUGCUUUGAGAGAAAACAAGUAUAAAGCACUAAUGAUUGGCUUGGUCUGGAUAAACAGAGGUUUCACACUUUAAACUAGAUGUACACUGAAGAAAUGUCAUUGUGGAGCCUAAUUGGAUUGAACAACACUUUGUCCUCUCCAGGGAGAUAGUAUUGGAUGAUGACUUCCAGCAAAACAUCAUGGUACCCCAUGAAGUCAGAGGCUGGUCUUGAUGUUGAGAUUCUGUUCUGGGCUACCUGGGAAAACGCUUUCCAAUUAUGAAGUUUCUGGAUAUCCUAAAGCCCUAAAGGACACCUACUCCAAGGAGACAGACAGAUAACAAUAGGUGCAGCCAGUAUUUUGACCACAGUUUUAAAGUAGUUCUAAAAUUUCAUUACUUUAUUUAAGACCCCCAGCUAAAGCAAGAUUUAUCAGUCUGCAGUGAGCAGCAGGUUCUCAUAAGAGCUCAGCAGUAAGCAGACAGCAAACUGCAUUACUUGAAUGAAAAAGUGAAGUGUCAUAUAAGCUCUACUCUAUUGGAAAUGGAUUAAAACAGAGCCUGUGGCCUUCUCACUAAAUCACAAAAGAGACGUACUUCUGUGAAUACUAUUUUUCCCCAGUUUUUCAAAGGAACU
Molecule: long non-coding RNA, 935 nt
Filed under: Anas platyrhynchos platyrhynchos (common mallard)
Lineage: Eukaryota; Metazoa; Chordata; Aves; Anseriformes; Anatidae
Description: lncRNA (ENSAPLG00000027130.1)
Source: RNAcentral